GAUUGGGGUGAAGUCGUAACAAGGUAGCCGUAGGAGAACCUGCGGCUGGAUCACCUCCUUUCUAUGGAGAAA
This 72-nucleotide ribosomal RNA is filed under the name Clostridium chromiireducens. Its description in RNAcentral is "partial 16S ribosomal RNA". The stretch from base 1 to 61 matches the Rfam family "Bacterial small subunit ribosomal RNA", at positions 1473 to 1533 of the family's 1533-position model. Lineage: Bacteria; Bacillati; Bacillota; Clostridia; Eubacteriales; Clostridiaceae. The record is from RNAcentral.